CAGACAGAAAGUGUGUUUCACGGGUAUAUUCAUGAGUGACCCAUUAAGUAUUGUAUCUAGCAGUUGUUCACCGUGAAUAAGAGCCCCGAAGCGGCCGUGGCUCCGUUCCGCCCUCUGGGAGACGCUGAAGCGCGGCGGUGGCGGCGGCGGCGCUCCGGCGUGAAUUCCAACACGUUUCCGAGUGGGGAAAACAAACGGCGUGAAUAGAGGAAGGGUGGAGAGAAGGAGGAGGCUGGGAAGGAAGGAGAGCAGCAGGGACGAGUGUUUCCUUCUGUAGAAGGAAGGGGGCGAACCGAAGAAAGUUGCUGAAGGAACACUGCGGGGGAUCUGACAACAGCUGGAUGAGGAAGGAGAUCGAGGGCUGAGCUCAUUUUGUGACACCCGCAUCCCUCCCCCUUGUCUCCUGGCCUUCAGCAGUUCUCAUGAUGGAGCAAGGAGUGGAGGGAGAGAAGGAGCGACAGAGAGAGCGAGGAGAGGAGAAGGAGAGUGAUGAAGCAGAGGACCUUGGGAAGGCUAUAGAAGGAGCAGCCCUUGUGUGGCAAGAAAGGGGUACCGAUGAUGACCUGGGCCUACCCAUCAUGCACUGGGAGGCCCUUAGUUUGCGAAUUGCUGAGCUGGAGAAACAGGAGGAGGAAAGGAGAGAAAGAUCCAAGUGUACUAGUGUCCUGGAGCAAGAUGGUGUGUCUGGGGUCUGGAGGGAUUCAAGUCGAAGAGACGUAUGGGAUGACAGCGAGGACGAAUGCAACAGCCGUGUCAUUGCUCUCACCUCAAGGCUCCAAAACCAGAUGAAUCUUCAGCUCUGCUUUAUCAACAACAGUGAGAGUGAAGAUGAAGAUGAUGAAGACACUGCGCAGCCGCCCCCCCAAGCUAGGAACCCAUCCCCAACCCCAGUGACUACAGGUGGCAGCAGGUCAACCGGCUUCAAGCUGGAAGUGAGGGCUGCACUGACCGCUCUCCGAGACAAGCUGCGGACUGAGCAGAAGGAACAGUGUGUACCGUGCUCUGAUACUGUGACGAAAAGGAAGAAGUUGGAGCGCAGUGACCUCCAGGCUCUCAGUCUGAAGCAACUGGAUGCACUGAGGGUCUCUCUCACCCAGAGUGUUCAUGAUCUGAGCUCAGAACUGGUACGCCGACUCUUGACCAGAGACCAGCUGCGGACAGAGCAGGAUGCUAUGCUCCUAGAGGUGCAGGAUAUGACAUUGUGAUGUGACCAUUUGAACUGCAAAGAAGCCACACGUCUCUACUGGAUGAUAUCACUUUUUGGACACUCCUGCCAAAAUGGCUGGGAAUAAAAGCUGCAGUGUGUUGCCCA
RNAcentral lists this long non-coding RNA (1312 nucleotides) under Scleropages formosus (Asian bonytongue). RNAcentral describes it as "lncRNA (ENSSFOG00015026538.1)". Lineage: Eukaryota; Metazoa; Chordata; Actinopteri; Osteoglossiformes; Osteoglossidae. The record is from RNAcentral.